RNAcentral lists this ribosomal RNA (403 nucleotides) under uncultured bacterium. RNAcentral describes it as "partial 16S ribosomal RNA". It matches the Rfam family "Bacterial small subunit ribosomal RNA", at positions 30 to 526 of the family's 1533-position model. The record is from RNAcentral.
AUUGAACGCUGGCGGCAGGCCUAACACAUGCAAGUCGAGCGAGCGGCGGACGGGUGAGUAAUGUAUGGGGACUGCCCGAUAGAGGGGGAUAACUACUGGAAACGGUGGCUAAUACCGCAUACUAUCGGAUAACCCUUAUGGGAUUAGCUAGUAGGUGGGGUAAAGGCUCACCUAGGCGACGAUCUCUAGCUGGUCUGAGAGGAUGAUCAGCCUCGCUGGGACUGAGACACGGCGCAGACUCGUACGGAGGCAGCAGGGGGGAAGAUUGCACAAUGGUCGCAAGCCUGAUGCAUCGAUCCCGCGUGUAUGAAGAAGGCCUUAGGGUUGUAAAGGACUGUCAGCCAUGACGCGGUAGUGGCAGAAUAAGCACCGGCUAACUACGUGCCAGCCGCCGCGGUAAUAC